AGUGAACGCUGGCGGUAGGCCUAACACAUGCAAGUCGAACGGCAGCACAGGAGAGCUUGCUCUCUAGGUGGCGAGUGGCGGACGGGUGAGGAAUACAUCGGAAUCUGCCCAGUCGUGGGGGAUAACGUAGGGAAGCUUACGCUAAUACCGCAUACGACCUUCGGGUGAAAGAGGGGGAUCGCAAGACCUCUCGCGAUUGGAUGAGCCGAUGUCGGAUUAGCUAGUUAGCGGGGUAAUGGCCCACCAAGGCGACGAUCCGUAGCUGGUCUGAGAGGAUGAUCAGCCACACUGGAACUGAGACACGGUCCAGACUCCUACGGGAGGCAGCAGUGGGGAAUAUUGGACAAUGGGCGCAAGCCUGAUCCAGCCAUACCGCGUGGGUGAAGAAGGCCUUCGGGUUGUAAAGCCCUUUUGUUGGGAAAGAAAUCUUUCAGGCUAAUACCCUGGGAGGAUGACGGUACCCAAAGAAUAAGCACCGGCUAACUUCGUG
RNAcentral lists this ribosomal RNA (490 nucleotides) under uncultured bacterium. RNAcentral's name for it is "partial 16S ribosomal RNA". It matches the Rfam family "Bacterial small subunit ribosomal RNA", at positions 29 to 507 of the family's 1533-position model. The record is from RNAcentral.